This 250-nucleotide ribosomal RNA is filed under the name uncultured soil bacterium. RNAcentral's name for it is "partial 16S ribosomal RNA". It matches the Rfam family "Bacterial small subunit ribosomal RNA", at positions 26 to 287 of the family's 1533-position model. The record is from RNAcentral.
AGGACGAACGCUGGCGGCGUGCUUAACACAUGCAAGUCACGGGGGCUCGCAAGAGCAACCGGCGAACGGGUGCGUAACACGUGAGCAACCUGCCUUUGUGUGGGGGAUAGCCGGGCUAACGCCCGGGUAAUACCGCAUACGGUCACCUGGGGGAGUCCCUGGGUGAAGAAACCUCCGGGGCACAGAGAGGGGCUCGCGGCCUAUCAGCUAGUUGGCGGGGUAAUGGCCCACCAAGGCGACGACGGGUAGC